UGACCAAAUUGUAGAUUUUGGCGAACUUGAAACUUGAUUUUGGAGACGUGUAUGAAGCGGAAAAGGUCAGCAGACAGGUGGACUUGAUCCUUAGGAGCUCUACCAGCGGUACUCUACAGUGCUCCAGUUGUUCCGGAGCCUCACUUCCGCGGUACUAUUUUGUGUAUGUAUAUUCGGGCACAUCAGUACCCGGCCCUUUCUAUGUAUAAGUGUACUAUGUCUAGAGGCUCGUAGACAGAUAUGCCCAGUCAGUCAAGUACAGUUAGAUAUAUGGUGUGUUGGCAUUUUAAUGUUGUUGUAUAAAGUGAUAACGAAGUUUACUAGUCUAUGUUCAUAAUGAUGCUGCUAAUGUUAAUGUUAAAAAAAUAAAUAUAUGGCACAGUUCCUACGGCCCGCUGAGAAGUAAAGGUAAAACGAUAGAUAAGGGGUGCUCGGUACAAGUAUCGGGUACUCAUCACGGCCCCUAGUCGGGUCGUGACAUAUUUGGCCAAUAAAAUAUAACAUGUCAUUUAAUUUAAUCCACAUGAAAUUUUUCUUUUUUUUUCUCAGUCUAUAUGGUAAAAAGACCCGACCCAAACCCAUCCAAAUCUAGGCUUAUUCAGGCAAAAGUUAGGCCUUAAGGCAGAGUUUGCAAAAUUCUAACUGAGUAUUUUUUUUUUUUUUUUUUUUGCCUUAAUGCAAACCUCUAACUUAAGGUAGAGUUUUGCAUCAUGCCUAAAGGCAAAACUCUGCCUUAAGGGAGAGUUUGCCUUAUGCAACUCUACCUGAACUGCAAAAUUCUGCCUUACAAAUCCAAACUUUAUGUUGCAAUAUUUUUAAAAUUUUUAACUAAGCUGAGAUUUGAACUCAGAACCAAGGAAUUUUACCGAAGGACUAAAAAUUAAAGACCACCAAUUUGAGAGUAAAAAAUUGAAGACCACCCCCCGAAUAAGGACAGUCGGGCAAAUUGCCCGUUUAAUUCCCAUUUCAGCCCAAAUUGGUCCAAAGAUCCAUCCAGCUUACAUAUAACCCGACCCGAGUUCCUUUCCAUUUUCCACACAACACAAAACGAACAUAGCAGCUCCAAAUCAUCUCUCCCACGUGAAAUCACAGCUACAAAAAUGGGUUUGGGAGCCCUAAGAUCAAUAAUCCGACCCGUUUCUUCAAGAGCACUCUUCUCGACCCGACCCGUAUCCUCAUUCAACUCUCCGGCGACAAGAAUAUCUCCGGGCCACCAGAUGCAGGCUGGUAUAAUUCUCCAUCUCUCUUUGUGCCCAGAAAGGUCAAAGUUUGCAUAGUUUGACUUUCGAGAAGCGAAAUAUGACAACUAAUUUGGGACAAGAGCAUUUGAUCAUUUUCUCGAGUUUAGUUGGGAUUGUAAUGGUACGAGGUGGGGGAUCGGAACAUGAGGAUGUCGUUUUGAUGAUUUUCUUGAGUGUUCACAUUCACAAGUCACAAAAAUGUCAAAGUGUUGGGAUUGUAAAGAAGCUGGCUUUGUCAUGAAGUGAUGUCCGUAUGCAUGGAUAAAAUAUACCACCCGGUGAACCUAUAAGUCCAAACAAUCCCAAUUAAGGAAGUGUCAAGCGGAGGAAUGAGAAGAAGAGAAUCAGGCAGAGAAAGGCAUUUAUAUUGGUAUGAACGUAGAAUUGUGACCUUGUGGGGUGAGCUAGCUGAAAAAGAUGGGGAAAUACUACAAAAACUGAUAGAUACAAAACCUGUCGUAGCAUUUUGUGACGUGAAAGGGUUGACGUAUCAAGGUAAUAUAUCGAAAACUUUUUUUUACCUUCACAAUUAGUUCUUUAUGAAUUACAUCUAUGCUAAACUUUAUUUGUUUGUUGUGAGGAUAUCUACCACUCGUAUUAGUGGUGUAUUGAUCAACCCGACAUUUCAAAAAGCAAACGAGCUGCAAAAUUGGCAUGAUUGUUUGAAAGCGCAAUUGCUGAAGAGAUGCAUGAAGUUGGAACUAUUGCUGCAAUUGAAAUUGAGGAAGACGCAAUAGAGGUGCAGAAAAAACACACGAAGAAAACAAGGGAUUGCGGAGACAAAAAAGACUCUCAUUCAAUAAUUUAUAAGAAAAUCAAAAUAGAAAAGGAUUAGGGAUUUGUUGUUGUUUUGUCAUUCCAGUAGACAUUCAUUAUCUUUUUUUAGUCGAUUUCCCAUAGUCUAUUUAAUUCUCUUAUGAUAUUGUAGUACUAUAUUUUUGUUAGUCUAUAAUAUGUGACUCCCUCUGUCCCAUAUAGAA
Long non-coding RNA from Lycium barbarum (goji berry), 2221 nucleotides. RefSeq lists it as uncharacterized. The transcript has 7 exons. NCBI's taxonomy places the organism in Eukaryota, Viridiplantae, Streptophyta, Magnoliopsida, Solanales, Solanaceae. The record is from RefSeq and is a predicted model, not a curated record.